This 556-nucleotide long non-coding RNA is filed under the name Pan troglodytes (chimpanzee). Its description in RNAcentral is "long non-coding RNA NONPTRT010948". Lineage: Eukaryota; Metazoa; Chordata; Mammalia; Primates; Hominidae. The record is from RNAcentral.
CGCAGCGCACCUCAGGACAAGUAAUGUGCGUCGAAGGGCUUUGGAAACUGCAAGGCACAGUAUAAAUAACAGGUUCCUUCAUUCCUCCUGGGCAGGAACUUUGGCCUCAACAGUUCCUUCUUUGUUGAGGCCAAAGAAGCUGGGCCAUGAGAAGGCAGAGGAAACGCUGCUGUGGGGAACCAGCAUUCUCUCUGCUUACUCAACGGGGAAAGGACCGUCCAGGCUCUCCUGCAACUGGCCACCAGGGGGCGCCGCUCCCCCAGCCUUCCUCUUACUGAACCUACCCCCCCACCACCCCCUCAACAACCUGCUCGCGAGAAACCAGGCCUUGGAAGGAGUCCGGGGGAGCAGGCACCAGAGACUUUGAAAAGCGGCAAAAACGCGGGAGAUGCUGAGUGGAGCCCUGUGGAGGAGUGCCUGUUCCCAUUUUACAGAUGAGGAAUUUGAGGCCCAAAGAUGUUGGGUAAGAUCAAGAGGCUAGGGACAGGCAGCGCUGGGUCAUUUGCUUCCAAGGUCAGUUCCCAAUGGGACCACAAGCAAAUGCUAGCUCAUUUGG